ACCCUACCGCCAAAAACAAAAACAGUAGCCAAAACCAUGAUUGUCACGUCGGCAGCUGCACAUAGCAAUGCGUUAGCCCUUCUAGCGAACCGAAUUAAGGUCCUGUAGGUCAAAAGAUAAAAUAUCAAUCCCUGUCAAACAAACAGGAAAUUAAUGAAGAAUAGACCAAGUGAUUUUGUAUCUGCAUGCAUCUUGUUUGAUUCUCUGAUAUUUUACCAACCCGGGAGUGGCAUGUUGUUUUGGAACGACUUGUUGCCGAAAAAGAUGUUGGAGUGCUAGUGGAAGCAUGUCCUGCUCAAGAGGCUCAUAAUUCUUGUUUGCCUUACCUAACGCAUCAUACAGCUCCGCUUUCUUCUGCAUCGCCUUAUAUACCAAGUUUCGUAGCUCAUCUCUCUUCUGGUGGAUCUCGUGCUUAAGGUGACACACGAGCAGUAAGUAAGCACUGAUUACAACAUUAACAACAAAGCCUUUAUGCCGUGCUUGGUUUGGUUGUAAUUUAAUACUAGUGUAGUUAACUUCCAGGUGUAAUUUACAGACCAAGAGAUAUUUAAAACCAGAAACGAAAACAACCAGAGAAGACCUGUAUAUAUUUUACAAGUAUAUUUAGAACGAAAACGAGAAUCCAAACACGGCGUUAGUCCCAAACAAGUUGGGGUAGGCUAUAAGUAAGCGCUGAUUGUGAUGGGCAAAUAAUUUGAGAAGAAUAUUGUCUUGUAUAUCAAUUAAGUGAGGUUUGAAUGAUAUAUACAAUAUACUCCCUCCUUACCAAAAUAUAAGACGUUUUUGCAGUUCAAAUUGAAUAGCAAAAACGUCUUAUAUUUCGAUAGAGAGGUAGUACGGUUUUAUUAGACAUUUAUAAGACAAGACCCAAAACAGUUGAAUUUCGUCAGCUGUCUAAAACGUCAUACAAAAGUGAAGGGAGGAGUAUCUGAGAUUUUAGUGUUAGAUGGAUGCAUCGGCCGUAUUUAUAGGAAUGGAUUUAACACGAUGCUAAGGUAAUCUUGCUCUAUCAAAGAUUCAAACUUGUGUCCAAAUAGAAAAGUAAUCUUAACAGACGCAAGUUGGUGUUUCCAUUGCGCAGAAUUGGAUUAUCUCUCCAUGGCGUGAGAAAAAAACAUGAGGUAAAAUAAAAGAUGUCAGUUUUGGUUGAGAUACCUCACGGGUGUGCAAGAGCCUGCUUCUGCUUGGGGAGAAGAGCUGGGGUCGCUCCUCCGCCUGCGUUCGCUGGAGCAGGGAACCCCGGCCGAGCCUCCUCUCCACGGAUCGAAGCGCCGCCGACAUGGAUCUUAGGCCGGCUUGCAAGCACUUGGUUAGGGAUUUGGUCACCACCGCCGGCCGCUCCUCACCGCCGUGCCUAUACAAUCGA
Molecule: long non-coding RNA, 1366 nt
Filed under: Hordeum vulgare
Lineage: Eukaryota; Viridiplantae; Streptophyta; Magnoliopsida; Poales; Poaceae
Description: long non-coding RNA (HVUL_LNC002464)
Source: RNAcentral